CCCGUCACAUCNCGAAAUGGGCUGUACUAGAAGUCGUCGCGCUGACCGCAAGGAGGCAGACGCCAAGGUAUGGCUCAUGAUUGGGUG
RNAcentral lists this ribosomal RNA (87 nucleotides) under uncultured bacterium. RNAcentral's name for it is "partial 16S ribosomal RNA". The record is from RNAcentral.